GAAAUCAAUAUAUUGAGACAAGGGAGAAAGGACAGAAUUAAUUUCAGAUAUAAAGGACAGAAUUGAUUCCAGAUGUCUGGAAUCAAUUCUGUCCUUUCUCCCUUGUCUCAAUAUAUUGAUUUC
This 123-nucleotide microRNA precursor is filed under the name Pelobates cultripes (western spadefoot toad). Lineage: Eukaryota; Metazoa; Chordata; Amphibia; Anura; Pelobatidae. The record is from RNAcentral.